This 497-nucleotide ribosomal RNA is filed under the name uncultured bacterium. RNAcentral describes it as "partial 16S ribosomal RNA". It matches the Rfam family "Bacterial small subunit ribosomal RNA", at positions 28 to 507 of the family's 1533-position model. The record is from RNAcentral.
GAUGAACGCUGGCGGCGUGCCUAAUACAUACAAGUCGAGCGAACGGACGAGAAGCUUGCUUCUCUGAUGUUAGCGGCGGACGGGUGAGUAACACGUGGAUAACCUACCUAUAAGACUGGGAUAACUUCGGGAAACCGGAGCUAAUACCGGAUAAUAUUUUGAACCGCAUGGUUCAAAAGUGAAAGACGGUCUUGCUGUCACUUAUAGAUGGAUCCGCGCUGCAUUAGCUAGUUGGUAAGGUAACGGCUUACCAAGGCAACGAUGCAUAGCCGACCUGAGAGGGUGAUCGGCCACACUGGAACUGAGGCACGGUCCAGACUCCUACGGGAGGCAGCAGUAGGGAAUCUUCCGCAAUGGGCGAAAGCCUGACGGAGCAACGCCGCGUGAGUGAUGAAGGUCUUCGGAUCGUAAAACUCUGUUAUUAGGGAAGAACAUAUGUGUAAGUAACUGUGCACAUCUUGACGGUACCUAAUCAGAAAGCCACGGCUAACUACGUG